Molecule: non-coding RNA, 18 nt
Filed under: Arabidopsis thaliana (thale cress)
Lineage: Eukaryota; Viridiplantae; Streptophyta; Magnoliopsida; Brassicales; Brassicaceae
Source: RNAcentral
CGUAAAGUGACCGUUUGA